AGUGAGCUCAGUGUGUCUUUUUUAAAAGAUGAGUCAAGAAGUGUAUUUAGUCGGUCAUCAUUGUGAACAGAAGAGGCGAGGCGAACGCUUAUCAUUUAGGAGUUGUGUUUUUUUUGCAUAAAGGAAACAGAUGAAUGCUCAGCUCAUCCCUGGUGAGCUUCACCUUGUGAGAGCCGUUACUCUCAUUAAUCUCCUGCUUUCCUUCCCCUGCCUGCCUGCUCUCUUUCUGUUUUUUCAUCCCUCGCUCCUCCUCUCUCCUUUCCAGACAAUGAUCCAAUUAGCUGCUGGCUGCGGUGGCACCAGUUGCCUACAGAUGUCAGAUGCCUCUGUGUGUGCAGCUCACCUGCACAUUAAAUACAUACAGGCUUGAUGGUCUGUCCGUCAAGUAUUUAAUCUGUGUUGUUGUAUUUAACUUUUUCUAUCUAAGUUACAUUUGUCUUGCUUUAUCAACUUACCUCUCUCCUGUUGUAUUGUUUUUUUGAAAAGGUUCUAGUAUUAAUAAUUGUUAUUCGAUUGUCAUGCAUAUAGUUUUUUUAAUGUUAUUCCUCGCAUUGGCUCUUCAUCCACUUUAGGUUUCACUGGCCGCAACACAGAGGAGAACAUUACCUAAAAUAUCAAUUACAGUUAGAUGCUCUAUAGAUGAUCUAUGCAAGAUGUAAUUAUCCAUAAAUCCACCAAAUGUCCUUUAAGAGCUUUCACGUGUCCCGUUUUCAUGAUUCAAACUGCACAACAUUUACCAUCAAACAUUGAGGGGAUUUCCCGUCCUCAAUGACCUGCAGCAGGUUCCUGGAAGCGAGCCCGACCCCGCGGCCGUGUGUCGGACCUGAUCGGAGCCCCUUUGGACACAUUGGAUCCAGUGCUUUGGUUGAGAAGCUUACCGGGACGUCUCAUAUCUCACAUCUCCUUGGAGCCCAGCAAGAGUGUGCUCAGCCCGGUGGACAUCUUGUAGACCAGGACUUCAGCUGAGGAGCUUUCUCUUCACUCCUCUACCUCGAAACGAUAUUUAUAGAUCGCACAUUUGCAUAUGAAUGUGAUUUCUGUUCGGUUGACCCAGACGCGGCUGCGUUCUCCCCACACGUCCUCAUUCCCCCCUCACAGUCCUCCAGAUGCCCUCAGCGUGUUGCCGCCUCCCGCCGGUCACUUCCUCUCCUCGCACGCUCGCACACCUGCUCCUCGUUUCCUCCCUGACUCUCACAGUAUAAAUAGCUGCUCUCUUGCCUCUCUCCGUCGUGGCCUCGCGCUCACACCUCGUGUUAAAGUCCGUCAUGAGUGCAAUGGCAUGUUUUGAUGUGUGGUAUUUUUCCUUGGUCACUGAGCCCCGUGUGGAACAACGACAACAUGCGUUUGUCGUGUUGCUGGUGAUGAAAGUAAGUAUUGUUGGGUAGUUUGCAUUUUUUCAUGUGGUGGUUAAUUUGAAGUCAAUCAGACGUACGGGGAGAGGGGGCGUGGCCUAAUUAAUGUUACAAAAAAAAAAGAAUACAGGAAUUUUGUCAUACCGAAAUGCAAAAACCCCUAAAAUAUCAUAGUUUUUUACCAGUCCUGAUACUUAUACAUACUUAUGUGCGUUUUUAAGCAUUUAGCAUCAGAAUCUAAUUGAUUUGGCAUAAAAAGAAGAAAAGUCACGGCUUCCAAAGGGCCUUCGCUCACCUGACGUCGUCCUUGCUCGUGCCCUAAUAAACAAAAAUGGGUUGACAUAAAAGUUUGGAAAUACAUAAAUGAUCAUUUGAAAGACGUAUGUGGAGCGCACGCAGUGCUGGUAAAAAAUAAAAUCUUUUGAAAUGUUAAGGUUAAGACAUUAAUAAUACCUGAUUUUGUCUGUACCUGAACUCCCUAGUGAUGAUAAUAAAAAUGCCCUCUUGUUAAUGGAACCCCUGAAAUCAAUUCUCUGUAUGAUUUAUAUUUGACGAUUCGGCAUCAGUGCUUCACGACGUCCCGUCCAAGAGGAGUCACGCUUAUCUAGCACCGUAGAUCUGAAGGUUUGCAGCCUUCCGACGGCGUUUGAGAAAAGGCUCUUUUCUGCGCAUUGAAAAGCAAGGCCAUUGGGAAGAUUUGAUUUUCAGUGAAGUCUGCAGGCUGAGUGACGAUUGAAGGCCAAAUGUAAGAGGAAAAAGAACCACUUCAAAAUGUGCCGGCAUUGUUCUGUAGAUGCGCGCUGGGGGAGAGACGUGCGCGGCGCCUUCAUCCGUCUGAAGGUGCAUUACUGAUCUAUUGUCCAUCAAUGUCUUGUCUCCUUCCCUCCUUUGUCCUCCGUUUGCUCUGCGGCCUUCGAAACCUCUUUCAUCAAGGCCCCCGGUUCAAAGGGAGCAGCAGCUGCUCCGAGGCUGUUUAGGGUCCUCAGGGUUUGACCUGUGACCUUCCUAUGCUACGGCGCCGUGCCAUCCGUUUAGGCUGGAUUGAACAGAGCGAUAUGAGGGCAGAGCACGCGGGAUCAAUGAGGGAACAUGCCUGGAAUUCAGCGGCGGGGCUUCAUCUUUGCACAAAGAGAUGGGGGGCCGCUUUGUGGGAGUGUUUUCAUAGAGCCGUGACAAUGUCAUGUUUAAUAUAAACAGAUAUUAUCCAAUGUUUUAUUCAGUGUUUUUAUUGAUAGUUGAUUUAUAAUUCAUUGAGCUUCUCACAAUUUUAGCUGUUUUUGCGGUUUUGUACGAUUGUGAAUUUCAUAUCUGUGUGUUUGGGAGUGUUGGUUGGACACAACUGUUUUCUGACAUUUUAUACACAAUUUAAUGAUACUGAAAACAAGAACAAUAGUCACCGGCAUGCUAGCAGCUGUGUCUGGCUGGACUUAGGCAAGGUAACGGUAAUAAGCUCAGCGUGAGCAACAUUUUCUAAUCAACACCCGACACAAAGUACACCUGCAGCUGAUGUUAUUAGUGCCGCAGGUCUUGGGUCAUAAACCAAAGCCAAAGGUUGACUCAGACUUUAGUGAUGGUGCUAAAUAAAAAGUUAAAGGGAUCCUUCAUGGCAAUCCGUCCAAUAGUUCCUGUUACAUUUCACCCAAAACCACAAAAGUAGAGUCAAGGGAGACAUCAACUGAGCCAUUUGCCAUGAACGUCUUUACAAAAUGUUGGGAUAAUUCAUUUUUUAGAUGUCGUCAACUCUUACAAAAUCAGAAAGCGUCAAUGUAAUCCAUACGAUAGUUGUGAUAUAUUUAGUCUGGACCAAAGUGCUGGACUAAGCUGAUGCUCCCACGUUGCUAUCGUGGCUGAAACGUGUGAGAUGCAGCACAACAAGUCAUUGCAACAUGUUUCCAGUCCCAUUUCCAUCCCAAAUAUCCUGGUCCGUCGUCCAUCCAACCCUAAUCCUAAAGGCCUUUUGGGGUGUUGGUAUUUUAUUUUUUUGUCAAAUGUAUUCACAUCGUGAAUACACAGUAUAUUUCCUCAAACCGUUAUCAUCCUGAAUACUUGCGUAAAAGCUUUCUUUUACUUCUUUGCACAGAAUGUGUUUUUGUGUGAUUUGGCACCGCAAAUGAAAAACAUCAAAGAAAUCACAUUCUGCUGAACAAUUUGAGUUGUGACUCUACUUUCAUUUUGUAAUUAAUCGGUAUUAUUCUGCAUUUGUUAUUAUAUUUUUGCUUCUUUCCAGGUGUGUAAAGGAUUUUAGACAUUAAUCUCCAGUAUGUUAAGUAAUAAAAUCCUGAAUUGAAUCUUUCUGUGAAAGAUGAUGGUUCAAUUCUAAGAUUCACUCAUUUUGUUUUGUUUAGAGUCCUGAAGAGAAAGAACUGCCGCUAUUAAACUAACAGAUAAAGGAAAACUAAUUUUGAUUAAAAAUGUCCCGUCUACUUAACCUUCUCACAGCCGGUCAGGUUUAUCUCAGCAGGCCUCUGGGGUCCUGACCCCACAUUGAGAUGCAUAGGCCUGGGGCGUAUAUACUGAGGCCUCUAAAAGCCUCUGGCUGUGGUUUAUAUUUGGCCUAUAUAUACAUCACACACCUUAUCAGAGCCCAUAUUGCCUCCAUAUAUUGAUGCAUUUACAAAAUGAGUCUCUGAGAUGUCCAUGCAGCCACUAUGAGAAAUGUAUUCCAAAGACCUCCAAAGCGUUUUGACAAAUCAUCACAUCUGCCAGAUUCAACGUAAAAAUGAGAUUUACAGCUUAUUUAAAGGAUGGUGGAGAUUGCGUGUGUGUGUAUGUCCAUCCAUCCAUCCAUUGUCAAACCUCUUAUCCUGCACACAGGGUCGCGGGGGGCUGGAGUCCAUCCCAGCCAACUUCGGGCGAUAGACAGGGUACAUCCUGGAUUGGUCGCCAGCAGAGACACUCAACCAUUCACACUCACAUUCACACAUCUACGGAGCAUGUCUUUGGACUGUGGGAGGAAGCCAGAGAACCCGGAGAGAACCCACGCAGACACGGGGAGAACAUGCAGACUCCACACAGAAAGGCCACUGGGUGGAAUCGAACCCAGGACCUUCUUGCUGUGAGGCGACAGUGCUAACCACCACGCCACCGUGCCGUGUGCCGUGUGUGUGUGUUGUAUUUUAAUAUCUAUAAAAAGUCUAAAAAAAUUAUAAUAAUAAGUAAAGAUGAACUCAUUGGAGUUCAAUUUUGUCCAAAUUAAUUUUCAUUGUUCAGUAUUCAUAUUUUAGUUAACGGGGCUCGAUGAAGACGAGAGAAAACAACCCUAAAAGGCAAAAUAAAUGGGAAGGAAGAGUGUGUGGGUGAGUGUGUGUCUGCCAGUGUGUAUGUGUUUGUUUGAUUCCGUUUGUGUGUGUGUGUGUGUGUGUGUGUGUGUGUGUGUGUGUGUGUGUGUGUGUGUGUGUGUGUGUGUGUGUGUGUAGGUGUGUGAGUGUUUGUGUGUCUGUAUAUACUUGUGUGUUUCUGUGUUUGUGCGUCCUCGAGUGGGAAAGAUCAGCUGCUGCUGAUUCUGCUGGAAAUUUCAGGUUUAUUGAUGGAUUCUAAAAGCAAUUUGACCUUUUGUAUGUGCACUUGAUCUCACUCACACCACAGGAUAAUUGGACCUUUAUUUACUUUUUCUAUUUUUUAAAUUACUUUCCAUUUUGGGCAUGAAAGGGGGAAACAGCUCAGGCAGGACAUCUAAGCUUAAAUCAACAGUAUUGCAAGAAUCUGAAAUAACUAUAAAUCACAUCAAUCAAAUUAAUCUGUGUGUAUUCAUGCAGGUGCACUUACACUGGGAUUAUGUGCCUGUGUGUGUGUGUGUCCGUGCAGGUGCACCUAUUAAUAUACAGAGAUAUUGCGUGUGUGCGUGGGCGGGUGUGGAUGUGGGUGGGCGGUUGCCAGGUGUGGAUCACACACAGACGCAAGAAAUGCACAAACAGGCACAGAUGGCCAAAGUCUCCAGAGUCUUUCAUAUGCACAUGUGUAAACAGACACCAUACAGCAGGAAAUCCUACUUAGAAUACAGGAUUCUUUAUCACAAGCUGAGAAAAGCUAGUGCACCUUUCUCCGGGGGGGGAACUUCUCUCUUCUGCUCGGUCCCAAUCUCCCCCCCUCACCGACUCACGGACCCACAGACUUUGAGGCGCUGCCGCGAACCCCGUGAGGGUUUAGUUCUGUCCCGUUGUCACACCGCCGAGUGCUUGAGGCUCUCUGGCAGACAUUUUGAGCCCCUUUUCCGUUGGGAAUUACCCACAAGUCAUUGCAAUGUGACGUUAGAAACGUGAUAACCAGUGAAAGCAUGGAGGAGCAAAAAGAGGUAAUCAAAGCGGACGGCACAUUGUCUUAUUAAAAUGGAUACAUUUAAAACGUUGAGGUUUUAAAAAGCACAUGAAAUCAGACGAUAUUUCCUUGUUUAUUCAUAAAAUAUGACAUUUUGUCAUCAAAACAAUUUUGACAACAGUAAAAACGUUAUUUGAAAUUACCUUAUGAGGAAAAAGCCAGGAACACGUUUAAAUAAAUGAGUAAAACGUAUGAAAUAAAUCAAUUGUAAAUCACAUUUUUGACGUUGUCAUGGUGACGUGACAUGCAGCAAAGUGCUGUCCCAUUCACAUUCAGACCAUUUAGAGCCCUCCCACUCAACCACUUAGGUGAUGUCAUUGAAGUCCCUGAGGGUUUAGGGGGGGCAUUGGGAUUGGGCCUUAGAGUACGAACCUUUCUUAAUUCCUGGAAAAAGGUGACAUUUUUCUAUAUAUUGUUGUUGUUCAAGUGAAUAUGUAGACAUCAGACAUGCACGAUGACAGGUGCAGUUACAGAGAUAGUAUAUAUAAAUAUUCCAAUAUAAAUAAUAAACCAGGGCUGCGGGGGG
Gasterosteus aculeatus aculeatus (three-spined stickleback) is the source of this 6192-nucleotide long non-coding RNA. The record is from Ensembl. NCBI's taxonomy places the organism in Eukaryota, Metazoa, Chordata, Actinopteri, Perciformes, Gasterosteidae.